Molecule: ribosomal RNA, 405 nt
Filed under: uncultured bacterium
Lineage: Bacteria
Description: bacterial SSU rRNA
Rfam family: Bacterial small subunit ribosomal RNA
Source: RNAcentral
GGGGAAUAUUGCACAAUGGGCGAAAGCCUGAUGUAGCGACGCCGCGUGAGGGAUGAAGGCCUUCGGGUUGUAAACCUCUUUCGGUAGGGAAGAAGCGCAAGUGACGGUACCUACAGAAGAAGCACCGGCUAACUACGUGCCAGCAGCCGCGGUAAUACGUAGGGUGCGAGCGUUGUCCGGAAUUAUUGGGCGUAAAGAGCUUGUAGGCGGUUUGUCGCGUCUGCCGUGAAAAUCCGGGGCUCAACUCCGGACUUGCGGUGGGUACGGGCAGACUAGAGUGUGGUAGGGGAGACUGGAAUUCCUGGUGUAGCGGUGAAAUGCGCAGAUAUCAGGAGGAACACCGAUGGCGAAGGCAGGUCUCUGGGCAGUAACUGACGCUGAGGAGCGAAAGCGUGGGGAGCGAAC